Molecule: non-coding RNA, 72 nt
Organism: Scatophagus argus
Lineage: Eukaryota; Metazoa; Chordata; Actinopteri; Scatophagidae
Source: the annotation of a RefSeq genome assembly
GUGUUGGUGGUAUAGUGGUUAGCGUAGCUGCUUGCCAAGCAGUUGACCUGGGUUCAAUUCCCAGUCAAUGCA